UCGAGUGUAGCUCAGUGGAAGAUCAUGUACUUAGUAUGCAAGAGGCCUUGGGUUUGAUCCCCAGCACUUAAA
RNAcentral lists this transfer RNA (72 nucleotides) under Marmota monax (woodchuck). RNAcentral's name for it is "tRNA.Thr". The record is from RNAcentral. Lineage: Eukaryota; Metazoa; Chordata; Mammalia; Rodentia; Sciuridae.